GCCUAACACAUGCAAGUCGUACGAGAGUUUUUAACUCAAGUGGCGCACGGGUGAGUAACACGUGGAUAAUCUACCCGACAGUCAGGGAUAACAUUUCGAAAGAGAUGCUAAUACCUGAUAAGCCUACGCCCUCCUCGGAGGAAGUAGGAAAAGGUGGGGACCUUCGGGCCUACCGUUGUUGGAUGAGUCCGCGGCCCAUUAGCUAGUUGGUAGGGUAAUGGCCUACCAAGGCUACGAUGGGUAGCUGGUCUGAGAGGAUGAUC
RNAcentral lists this ribosomal RNA (263 nucleotides) under uncultured bacterium. RNAcentral describes it as "partial 16S ribosomal RNA". It matches the Rfam family "Bacterial small subunit ribosomal RNA", at positions 46 to 305 of the family's 1533-position model. The record is from RNAcentral.